RNAcentral lists this ribosomal RNA (484 nucleotides) under uncultured bacterium. RNAcentral describes it as "partial 16S ribosomal RNA". It matches the Rfam family "Bacterial small subunit ribosomal RNA", at positions 30 to 507 of the family's 1533-position model. The record is from RNAcentral.
AUUGAACGCUGGCGGCAGGCCUAACACAUGCAAGUCGAGCGGAUGAAGGGAGCUUGCUCCUGGAUUCAGCGGCGGACGGGUGAGUAAUGCCUAGGAAUCUGCCUGGUAGUGGGGGAUAACGUCCGGACACGGGCGCUAAUACCGCAUACGUCCUGAGGGAGAAAGUGGGGGAUCUUCGGACCUCACGCUAUCAGAUGAGCCUAGGUCGGAUUAGCUAGUUGGUGGGGUAAAGGCCUACCAAGGCGACGAUCCGUAACUGGUCUGAGAGGAUGAUCAGUCACACUGGAACUGAGACACGGUCCAGACUCCUACGGGAGGCAGCAGUGGGGAAUAUUGGACAAUGGGCGAAAGCCUGAUCCAGCCAUGCCGCGUGUGUGAAGAAGGUCUUCGGAUUGUAAAGCACUUUAAGUUGGGAGGAAGGGCAGUAAGUUAAUACCUUGCUGUUUUGACGUUACCAACAGAAGAAGCACCGGCUAACUUCGUG